UGACUAUUUUCUGGAUAGUGGAUCAGCAAGCUGCCUUUAUGGUACCAUUGCCCAGCCUCUGGUGAAGUCAACAGUACUCUCCUUGUAGAUACAGCUACAGGAGCAGUUCCUUGGACCCGGCAUUGCCAAUCUUGAGGAGGAAAUCUCAGCAAUCCCGAUUUAUAAAAUAUUAUAAAAUAUCACCGUGUAUUCUGAACUAUUUGCUUAAUUGGCCAUUUACCAAGUGGUUCAGACUGCACAGUGGAUAAGUAACUGCUGAUAAACAAACAGGAAAUCGUUGGUCAAAAACAUUGCUUAGAAAUGGAAGCAGAAAAUUCUUUUUACUGGAGGUGCACCUGGAAGGGAUUGACCUUAACCAAUCUCUCCUGUGUCUUGUGAUUUAUACCAAGGUACACUCCUGUGGUAACCAACUAUUCUGAAGUAUCUCACUGAAGCGAAUAUUUGGAGGCUGAAGCUGAGUUGCUAGCUCGACACUCACACCAGCCGGGAUGGAAAGUGUGCAAGGAGCCGGCCAGAUGCGAACUCGGGUCCAAUCGCCUCGACGACCGAUGGUGAUGCCACUGCACCAACAGCCAGCUUUCUCUAUCUGAAGGCGGAUGAAAAAGAAAUAAAAUUUGUUACAGACAAUGCUGAUAACUUUCUGAAAACAUGCCAUUCUGAGAAUGUUACAGUGGUCUGAUCUCUCAGAAAGAUUCAAUACUGUUCUUACUUGGUAUAAAAACAAUGCUGACAUAAUUACACCACUUAGACGAAUGAGAAAUGGAACUGAACAUUUGAUAAUGUAAACAUACAGUGUGUGAUAAAUCCUGACUGGUUAAAUAUGACAUGAUAACAAUUCCAAAUAUAGCAUGCUACUUUCCUAGUUGGUGUAGGUAGUUUAGUUGUCAUUUUAUGUGCAAAAGUAUUUGCUUCAUGCAUAGCAUUCAUAAUAAAUGUCGAGGCAACUGCAUGAAAAUCGAGAAGGAAAUACUGCCAAUUAUUUCUGAAAGCAAGAUAUUUCAUCAGUACACGCUAAACAUUCACACUUAUCGCAGAACAUAUUCACAUUCCUGCAUCCUAAGGCAUCAGUUCCAACAUUGGUAACGUCAUGAUACACAGGUAGGCAGUUUUGCUUUCAUAGAAUGAUAAUAAGAUUUAAUGUAAUUUGUAAAAAACAGAAUAUCAUUGCUGAUGCUGUAUCUAAACAUUUCAUGAGUUAUCAGUUCUCAAACUGGAACUUCUAGCAAGAAUUGCUACAAGCACUGACACUACUCAUGAACUCUGUGAAUAUACUUUGUUGUUGGUCCUCUCCAUGCUUUGUGGUGCGUCAGGAGGCAACCUUGCCAUUUGUUUAGCACAUUUGUGAUUUUUUUUUGAAGUUCAUCAAACAGACAUUUCCAUAAGAUGUAUUUCAGACAUUGUACAUAUAUAUCAUAUAAUCAUACAUAUCACAAAUCUCCACGAAGUAUUUAUCUGGGGUAUACACUUAUAGAAAAGAGUGGAAAGAAAAAACAAGCAAAAGGAAAGAACUAUGUACAAGUAGGGAGUGAUCUUUUUUUUACAACAGAAUCAUUGAUUUGUGAGAAUAAAAUCAGGCCUAUGAGGCAUUAUGUAGUUAAAACAUUUUUCCCAGUAUGAAUCAAAUUGUUCCAGCUUAUGAUUAACAGAUACUGUUAUCUUCUCUAUUUUGUAAAUGUCCAUUGUAAUUUCCAUCCAUGCAUUUAAAGUUGGGAUCUCCUGUGAUAACCAUUUCCUAGUAAGAGUCUUUUUACCAGCCACCAACAGGAUAUUCAUUACAUAUUUAUCUCUUUUCAACCAUUCUUGAGGUAUAUAUCCAAAAUAUAUGGUCUUAUUCUCCAAGGGUAUUACUGUCAGGAACGGGGCCAGAUGGACCCAAACGCAGGACGCAGACACGGAAGUACUAGGGGGAAGACAGGAUGGGGAUGCCAUGGCAUUUAAGGGUAGAGCUGGGGUUCAGGUAGAUAGAGUGUCAGGCAGGCAGAGUGGAGCGGGCUCCCGGAGUUCAGACAGGCAGGCAGACAGGACCCCGGGGUUCAGGCAGGCAGGCAGACCGGUCUAUGUGGCUAGAUAAGCUGGCGGAGAGCCCUCCCUGGAUGGGCCGCAUAUAUCCUGGGUAGGGCCGUCUCCCAGGCGGAACCACCGGAGGCUUGGGCACGAUGCGGACCCCUAGGCGGGUGCAGGGCACGAUCCCAGGGUUCAGGCAGAAGAGGAGGAUGGGGCAGGCAUCCAGGCAGCAGCAGACCGGCCGGGCCUACCCAACGGAGGCAAGGGAUAGGAACGGGCAGAAACACCACCGGGCAGCGGCAAACCGGCCGGCCCUGCCCAACGGAGGCAAGGGGUAGGAACAGGCAUAGGUCUAGGGUGACCAACACAACAGUCAUGAUAGCAGGAAAAUCGGGAAAGGCUGGCAGACAGCGCGACCGCACGAACAAAACUAACGAGUGGAGAAGCGGGACCAGCACAUGGGAAGAAAGGUGGGGGAGAGGACCAACUUGGCAUUACUGGUACGGGGCAGAGAAGCAUGAUGAGCAGUAGAUCUGAAACCGGGCAGGAUAACAGAAUGCAGAGAAGAGUUCAGAGCUGGUGGUGAAACAGAACAAAACGACCACCCCCUGGUCCCUUAUAAACACCUGCAGCUCAAUGAGUUACAGGUGUGUCUCCUUGAGCCAGGAGGGUCCUAACUAGAUCACAGGUGACGGGAGGGGCAACUGCAGGACCCAGAGUCUGGAGUCCUCGGACCGGAUCGAGACCCGGAACAUGGAUUCCGGACCGGACCGGACCCUGACAAUUUCACAUUUAAAGAUGUCUUCUAGGGCAUUGUGUAUCCCCCUCCAAUAGAUUUUGAUAUCAGGGCAGUCCCAAAAAAUAUGAUAAGGAUUUGCAUAUUGAUUUCCACAAUUUCUCCAGUAAACAGAGAGGUUACUAUCAUAAUGGGAUUUCUAAGAGGAUGUAAUAAAAUAUCUUGUCAAGUUUUUCCAUCCAAACUCCCUCCAUUUCUGUGAAUUGGUACACUUCCAUUGAUAUCUCCAUAUUGUUGUCCAUUCUUCCUCAGAUAUAAUUAUCCCUCCUUCCUUCUCCCAUUUUGUUUUAAUGUAUGAAGUCAAAUGUGUUUUAAGAUUUGACAGCCCAUUAUACAUGCUUGAAAUGAUUCUACUACCAUUAUCUGAAUUAUAUGCUUUUCUAAAGAGCUCUAUCAAGUAUGUAUUUG
This is a long non-coding RNA of Hypanus sabinus (Atlantic stingray), 3208 nucleotides long. RefSeq lists it as uncharacterized. NCBI's taxonomy places the organism in Eukaryota, Metazoa, Chordata, Chondrichthyes, Myliobatiformes, Dasyatidae. The record is from RefSeq and is a predicted model, not a curated record. The transcript has 3 exons.